This 76-nucleotide transfer RNA is filed under the name Bifidobacteriaceae bacterium MCC01954. RNAcentral describes it as "tRNA-Trp". It matches the Rfam family "tRNA". From Rfam's summary of the family: Transfer RNA (tRNA) molecules are approximately 80 nucleotides in length. Lineage: Bacteria; Bacillati; Actinomycetota; Actinomycetes; Bifidobacteriales; Bifidobacteriaceae. The record is from RNAcentral.
AUGCGCGUAGCUCAGCAGGUAGAGCGGCGGUCUCCAAAACCGCAGGUCGUUGGUUCGAAGCCAACCGCGUAUGCCA